This 73-nucleotide transfer RNA is filed under the name Camelus dromedarius (Arabian camel). It matches the Rfam family "tRNA". Rfam says of the family: Transfer RNA (tRNA) molecules are approximately 80 nucleotides in length. Their secondary structure includes four short double-helical elements and three loops (D, anti-codon, and T loops). Further hydrogen bonds mediate the characteristic L-shaped molecular structure. tRNAs have two regions of fundamental functional importance: the anti-codon, which is responsible for specific mRNA codon recognition, and the 3' end, to which the tRNAs corresponding amino acid is attached (by aminoacyl-tRNA synthetases). tRNAs cope with the degeneracy of the genetic code in two manners: having more than one tRNA (with a specific anti-codon) for a particular amino acid; and 'wobble' base-pairing, i.e. permitting non-standard base-pairing at the 3rd anti-codon position. The record is from Rfam by way of RNAcentral. RNAcentral also lists the same sequence under 1 other name. Lineage: Eukaryota; Metazoa; Chordata; Mammalia; Artiodactyla; Camelidae.
GGGGGAAUAGCUCAGUGGUAGAGUGUGUGCUUAGCAUGCAGGAGGUUCUGGGUUCAAUCCCCAAGUAUCUCCA